Molecule: long non-coding RNA, 629 nt
Filed under: Phoenix dactylifera (date palm)
Lineage: Eukaryota; Viridiplantae; Streptophyta; Magnoliopsida; Arecales; Arecaceae
Description: long non-coding RNA (PDAC_LNC002460)
Source: RNAcentral
AAAUUUCUCAUGCUUGUCGAUCGAGCAGAAGAAAGAUAUGGUUUCCAAGGCUUUCCUUGUGUUUGGUGUUCUCUUGGCCUCUCUUCUGAUCCUCUUGGAGGUGGCAACAGCUAGGGAGAUGACACAGAAAACUCGUGAGACUUCAGUCUUCUCCCCUCUCUCUUCUCCAAGUGAUCAUAUGACCAUGGUUUGUUAAAUAUUAUGCACUUAAGAACCCAAGGUCAUUAGACCAUAUUGGAGCACCUCUAUAUAUCAGAUAUGCGUGGUCCCCAUUAUCUAAUGAUAUGAACAUCACACGCUCUAAUGAUCCAAUCGAGUUGCCCAAGGCAUGCAUAUCCCAUGCAUGCAUGUGUUCCAAAGGCCAUGGAGAUGUCAAAAUUAAAACGGUGUUUUUACUUCAUUGUAACUAAUAAGACUAUUGUUUCACAUGCAGAAGAGAAGAACGUGGAGGAAGAGGGUGUUGGGGACCAGAAGAACUCUCGCGGAUACAAAGGUGGCUACUCUGGUGGCGGAACGAACGGCGGCUAUCCUAGUGUUGGAUACGACUGUGGCUAUCCCCGUGGCGGUGGUGGAAACCACGGAGGUUAUCAUGGUGGUGGUGGUGGUGGAAAGAAAGGCGGCUAUCCUGG